This 458-nucleotide ribosomal RNA is filed under the name Psychrobacter sp. LR-1. RNAcentral describes it as "bacterial SSU rRNA". It matches the Rfam family "Bacterial small subunit ribosomal RNA", at positions 22 to 476 of the family's 1533-position model. Lineage: Bacteria; Pseudomonadati; Pseudomonadota; Gammaproteobacteria; Moraxellales; Moraxellaceae. The record is from RNAcentral.
GCUCAGAUUGAACGCUGGCGGCAGGCUUAACACAUGCAAGUCGAGCGGAAACGAUGGUAGCUUGCUACCAGGCGUCGAGCGGCGGACGGGUGAGUAAUACUUAGGAAUCUACCUAGUAGUGGGGGAUAGCACGGGGAAACUCGUAUUAAUACCGCAUACGUCCUACGGGAGAAAGGGGGCAACUUGUUGCUCUCGCUAUUAGAUGAGCCUAAGUCGGAUUAGCUAGAUGGUGGGGUAAAGGCCUACCAUGGCGACGAUCUGUAGCUGGUCUGAGAGGAUGAUCAGCCACACCGGGACUGAGACACGGCCCGGACUCCUACGGGAGGCAGCAGUGGGGAAUAUUGGACAAUGGGGGAAACCCUGAUCCAGCCAUGCCGCGUGUGUGAAGAAGGCCUUUUGGUUGUAAAGCACUUUAAGCAGUGAAGAAGACUCUUCGGUUAAUACCCGGAGACGAUGCA